GAUGGGCAUGCGUGACAUUAGCUGGUUGGUAGGGUAACGGCCUACCAAGGCAACGAUGUCUAGGGGUUCUGAGAGGAAGGUCCCCCACACUGGUACUGAGACGCGGACCAGACUCCUACGGGAGGCAGCAGUGAGGAAUAUUGAUCAAUGGGCGCGAGCCUGAACCAGCCAUCCCGCGUGCAGGAAGACGGCCCUAUGGGUUGUAAACUGCUUUUGUGCAGGAAGAACGUCCCGUUCGUGAGUGGGAGUGACGGUACUGCAUGAAUAAGCACCGGCUAACUCCGUGCCAGCAGCCGCGGUAAUACGGAGGGUGCAAGCGUUAUCCGGAUUUAUUGGGUUUAAAGGGUGCGUAGGCGGUUAAAUAAGUCAGUGGUGAAAAUCUGCAGCUCAACUGUAGACCUGCCAUUGAAACUGUUUUACUUGAGUAACCAUGAGGUAGGCGGAAUGUGUAGUGUAGCGGUGAAAUGCUUAGAUAUUACACAGAACACCGAUUGCGUAGGCAGCUUACUAGCGGUUUACUGACGCUGAUGCACGAAAGCGUGGGGAUCAAACAGGAUUAGAU
RNAcentral lists this ribosomal RNA (562 nucleotides) under uncultured bacterium. Its description in RNAcentral is "bacterial SSU rRNA". It matches the Rfam family "Bacterial small subunit ribosomal RNA", at positions 224 to 783 of the family's 1533-position model. The record is from RNAcentral.